This 253-nucleotide ribosomal RNA is filed under the name uncultured bacterium. RNAcentral describes it as "partial 16S ribosomal RNA". It matches the Rfam family "Bacterial small subunit ribosomal RNA", at positions 524 to 776 of the family's 1533-position model. The record is from RNAcentral.
UACAGAGGGUGCAAGCGUUAAUCGGAAUUACUGGGCGUAAAGCGCGCGUAGGCGGUCGAGUAAGUCGGGUGUGAAAUCCCUGGGCUUAACCUGGGAAUUGCAUUCGAUACUGCUUGGCUAGAGUGUGGAAGAGGGAAGCGGAAUUUCCGGUGUAGCGGUGAAAUGCGUAGAUAUCGGAAGGAACACCAGUGGCGAAGGCGGCUUCCUGGUCCAACACUGACGCUGAGGCGCGAAAGCGUGGGGAGCAAACAGG